This 399-nucleotide ribosomal RNA is filed under the name Fasciolopsis sp. 4 LJX-2011. RNAcentral's name for it is "eukaryotic LSU rRNA". The stretch from base 1 to 127 matches the Rfam family "5.8S ribosomal RNA", at positions 45 to 154 of the family's 154-position model. The record is from RNAcentral. Lineage: Eukaryota; Metazoa; Platyhelminthes; Trematoda; Plagiorchiida; Fasciolidae.
ACAGUUUGGGUAAACAUUGCACCCCACUGUGUGAAUUAAUGUGAACUGCAUACUGCUUUGAACAUCGACAUCUUGAACGCAUACUGCGGCCAUGGGUUAACCUGUGGCCACGCCUGUCCGAGGGUCGGCUUAUAAACUAUCACGACGCCCAAAUUGUCGUGGCUUGGGUUUUGCCAGCUGGCGUGAUUUCCUCAUCAACUCGGUGAGGUGCCAGAUCUAUGGCUUUUCCCUAAUGUGUCCGGGCACCCACAUAUAUGUGGUGGCGGAGUCGUGGCUCAAUGGCAUGUAAAAUUGCGCGCUCCGUUACUCAUGGUGAAGUGUUCGUUAUCAAUGUUGCGCUUCGGCGCUUCUAUUCCUGACCUCGGAUCAGACGUGAUUACCCGCUGAAUUUAAGCAUAA